AUGCAAGUAACAAUAUUGCAGCAGCCAAGUUACUUAAGCAGAAGCAUCCUCAAAUAUUCUGGACCUCAUGUGCAGCCCACAAUCAACCUAAUGCUCCAAGACAUUGGAAAUAUACCCAUAGUCAGCUCAACAAUUACCAAUGGUAAGACCAUCACAAAUUUCUUUUAUGCACACACUAGAUUGUUGGCUAUUCUUCACAAGUAUGCCAAAGGUGAUUUAGUCAGAGCUGGUGCUACUCGAUUUGCAAGUCACAACUUGAACUUGAAGAGUUUGUAUGGAAAGAGGAAGCAACUGAAGCUAAUGUUUGCAUCAAAUGAUUGGGUUGGCAGUAGUUAUGCUUAG
Molecule: ribosomal RNA, 342 nt
Filed under: Triticum aestivum (bread wheat)
Lineage: Eukaryota; Viridiplantae; Streptophyta; Magnoliopsida; Poales; Poaceae
Description: partial small subunit ribosomal RNA
Source: RNAcentral